RNAcentral lists this ribosomal RNA (255 nucleotides) under uncultured bacterium. RNAcentral describes it as "partial 16S ribosomal RNA". It matches the Rfam family "Bacterial small subunit ribosomal RNA", at positions 524 to 776 of the family's 1533-position model. The record is from RNAcentral.
UACGUAGGUGGCAAGCGUUAUCCGGAAUUAUUGGGCGUAAAGAGCGCGCAGGUGGUUAAUUAAGUCUGAUGUGAAAGCCCACGGCUUAACCGUGGAGGGUCAUUGGAAACUGGUUGACUUGAGUGCAGAAGGAGGGGAGUGGAAGUUCCAUGUGUAGCGGUGAAAUGCGUAGAGAUAUGGAGGAACACCAGUGGCGAAGGCGGCUUCCUGGUCUGCAACUGACACUGAGGCGCGAAAGCGUGGGGAGCAAACAGG